GGGACCCCCAGGGCUCUCAGUACCCCGGCUGUGCUGAGGCCGCAGCUCCAGCCCUGACCGGACCCCCACCUCCGACUGCCGAUGAACCUCUGCUCUUCGAAGCCAAGAAGUCAGGAAUAGGUCUGACUGCAGUGAGCAUCCAGCUUGGCUCUCAAAGCCUGAAGCAGGUGGGUUACUCCCCAUCUUUCUGCUCCUCCAUCCUGGGCACGGGGUCUUGUCCUCCUGCUUCUUCCUCACGGUCCAGGAUGGCUAUGACUGCAGACACCAGCCCACAAGGAAGAUCGCCAGUGAGAGAAGAUGAAGGGCAAAGCCUCUGUUGUCGUGAGGCUCUGUCUUUCCAGGACUGAAGACCCUUCCUCCCAUCCAGCACAGGUGCCCAACCUCAGUGCUGAGCCCCGGGGCAGCUGUAGGAAGACUGGACCCCACCCCUGAGCUCUCGAGGUGCCUGCUGGUGAAGCUGUGCGCGCAGCGCCCCCUGGUGGAAGGAGCUGCAGCGACAAGCCGCCGGCACCCAGGUCCCCCGGCACCCAGGUCCCCCAGCCAUGCCUUCUGGGCCACGAGGAGCAGGUGUUUCCCCGACACUUGAAGGGAGGACAGCACAGCCCUGCCCCAGGCCCAGGCCAGCUCUUCUCUGGCCAGAGUCGGGUCUGAGAAAGGCGUGCAGGAGCCAAGUUCGAUCCCAGGGACCCAGGCUGUGCCUCCCACCUGUCCCUGGUUUUCUCACCUGUCCAGUGCGGGGCGCAAGUGCAUGCAUUUCUGUUGAGCAGGUGGUGAAGAGCAGAAUGGCGGAGCCAGGGGGGUUCCGUGAACAAGGUGUGGAUGCCCCGGCACAGGGCCCUGCACACGGUGGGCACUCGAUGCAGGACCCACGUGCCAACCCAUGCCGAGGGCCGGGCUCCACUGUGAGGCAGGAGCUCCCCACUCCGCCUCCUCCCCAACCUCCUCUCAUCACCUCUUACCCCCACCCGGUCCGAGUUCUUCCCCCCAAACCCCAGCUCCCAGGGACAGCGCUGUCUCAGCUUUACCCUCCCUGCCGUCCAUGCAGCGCCCCUCCUGGGAGGCUUGCUCCAGAUAUCGUCCAGGAGCCGGACCCAGCACACCCGGGGGACCCCUCUCUGUGCCCUCCUUCCUCCCAGGACCUUCCCCCGCAGGACGGGGCUGCUGCAGAUGCAGGAGGGCAUCUUUCUACAAGCCAGUGGGAGAGAUCGCAUCUGUAUUCCAGAGCCUGGGGAAGACUGAGGCUCUUCAUUUCUUCAAGGAAAUUGAGGAGCAGGCUUUAUGGGGCCACUCACCCAGAGACGUUGGCAGGAAGAGAAGUGGAGGCACCCAGGCUCCCUCCUCAUCCCAUGAAAGGCUCACUGGGCCUCAGGCAUUUGCCGGACCCCUGUGCGGGGCUGCGUGCCAGAGGAGGGGCCCUGCUCCUGUUCCUUCUCACAGGGCGAAGGUGUCCAGACCGUGGGCUCCAGAUCCCCUAAAUGUCCCUGACUUUGCUCAUCUGUAACAUGGACGGUGACCCUGAGCUUGUGAACCGCAGAGACCUAGACUCACGGAGGACUGGUGACCUUAGCUCUCGUGCUGCCCAGGACGGCGGGAGGGGACCGAGUUCUCACUUACACACCUGACACUGAAGUGCCUAGAACAUCGGAAAGGAAAUGUGACUCGUGAAACGGUGUAAAGACAGAGGACAGGCCCAAAGCAGGAGAGACCCCGCGUCCUUGGCUCUAAGAUGUGACCUUGUGCCUGGCCAUCGG
Molecule: RNA transcript, 1751 nt
Organism: Zalophus californianus (California sea lion)
Lineage: Eukaryota; Metazoa; Chordata; Mammalia; Carnivora; Otariidae
Gene name: vegetative cell wall protein gp1-like
Exons: 5
Source: RefSeq, a predicted model, not a curated record